AUGUGCAGAAAAUAUAUGUUUUUAAACCUCAUUUUGCUUGUCAUUCACUAUUUGAUUUCAUCUUUUCCAUUGUCUUUAUAUUGUAAUAUGAUUUUAUUUACAUUUGAAAAAGAAUCUUUAGCUUUUGUAUUACUGUGUUUCCCCCCCUACAUUGUACAAUAUCAAGUGUUUCUAGAAUUACAGUGA
Molecule: non-coding RNA, 186 nt
Organism: Vicia faba (fava bean)
Lineage: Eukaryota; Viridiplantae; Streptophyta; Magnoliopsida; Fabales; Fabaceae
Source: the annotation of a GenBank genome assembly